Molecule: ribosomal RNA, 1003 nt
Filed under: uncultured Chloroflexota bacterium
Lineage: Bacteria; Bacillati; Chloroflexota
Description: bacterial SSU rRNA
Rfam family: Bacterial small subunit ribosomal RNA
Source: RNAcentral
AGAGUUUGAUCCUGGCUCAGGAUGAACGCUGGCGGCGUGCCUAACACAUGCAAGUCGAGCGGUAGCCUGCGGCUCUGUCUACGGGUGGGGCUGCGGGUGAGAGCGGCGGACGGGUGCGUAACACGUAGGUAACCUGCCCCGAAGUGGGGGAUAACCACUCGAAAGGGUGGCUAAUACCGCAUGAGCUCUGCGUGCUGGGAGGCAUGUGGAGGAAAGCCUGGAGGGGGUGCGAGCCCUUUUCUGGGCGCUUCGGGAGGGGCCUGCGGCCGAUUAGCUGGUUGGUGGGGUAAGGGCCCACCAAGGCGAUGAUCGGUAGCUGGUCUGAGAGGACGAUCAGCCACACGGGAACUGAGACACGGUCCCGACUCCUACGGGGGGCAGCAGUGAGGGAUAUUGGACAAUGGGCGGAAGCCUGAUCCAGCAACGCCGCGUGGAGGAAGAAGGCCUUCGGGUUGUAAACUCCUUUUCUGGGGGAAGAGGGAGGACGGUACCCCAGGAAUAAGACACGGCUAACUACGUGCCAGCAGCCGCGGUAACACGUAGGUGUCGAGCGUUAUCCGGAAUUACUGGGCGUAAAGGGCACGCAGGCGGCUGGGCAAGUUCCGUGUGAAAGCUCUCGGCUCAACCGGGAGAGGUCGCGGGAGACUGUCUGGCUAGAGGCGGGGAGAGGGGCGUGGAAUUCCCGGUGUAGCGGUGGAAUGCGUAGAUAUCGGGAGGAACACCAGUGGCGAAGGCGGCGCCCUGGCCCUGGCCUGACGCUGAGGUGCGAAAGCGUGGGGAGCGAACGGGAUUAGAUACCCCGGUAGUCCACGCUGUAAACGAUGCGAACUAGGUGUGGGCAGCAUUGGACCUGUCCGUGCCGAAGCCAACGCGAUAAGUUCGCCGCCUGGGGAGUACGGCCGCAAGGCUAAAACUCAAAGGAAUUGACGGGGGGCCGCACAAGCAGCGGAGCGUGUGGUUUAAUUCGAUGCAACGCGAAGAACCUUACCUGGGUUGGACAUGC